GGACUACCCGGGUUUCUAAUCCUGUUUGAUCCCCACACUUUCGUGCCUCAGCGUCAGUUACAGCCUAGUAAGCUGCCUUCGCUAUAGGUGUUCUUGACGAUAUCUAAGCAUUUCACCGCUACACCGUCAAUUCCGCCUACCUCAUCUGUACUCUAGCUCCACAGUAUCAAUGCCACCCUCCCAGUUAAGCCGGGAUAUUUCAGCACUGACUUAUACGGCCGCCUACGCACCCUUUAAACCCAAUAAAUCCGGACAACGCUUGCCACCUACGUAUUACCGCGGCGGCUGGCAC
Molecule: unclassified non-coding RNA, 292 nt
Filed under: uncultured Microscillaceae bacterium
Lineage: Bacteria; Pseudomonadati; Bacteroidota; Cytophagia; Cytophagales; Microscillaceae
Description: contains 16S-23S intergenic spacer region
Source: RNAcentral